AGCCCAGAGCCUGAAUCAGUGUGUGUGUUAGUGGAAGCGUCUGGAAAGGCGCGCGAUACAGGGUGACAGCCCCGUACACAAAAAUGCACAUGCUGUGAGCUCGAUGAGUAGGGCGGGACACGUGGUAUCCUGUCUGAAUAUGGGGGGACCAUCCUCCAAGGCUAAAUACUCCUGACUGACCGAUAGUGAACCAGUACCGUGAGGGAAAGGCGAAAAGAACCCCGGCGAGGGGAGUGAAAAAGAACCUGAAACCGUGUACGUACAAGCAGUGGGAGCACGCUUAGGCGUGUGACUGCGUACCUUUUGUAUAAUGGGUCAGCGACUUAUAUUCUGUAGCAAGGUUAACCGAAUAGGGGAGCCGAAGGGAAACCGAGUCUUAACUGGGCGUUAAGUUGCAGGGUAUAGACCCGAAACCCGGUGAUCUAGCCAUGGGCAGGUUGAAGGUUGGGUAACACUAACUGGAGGACCGAACCGACUAAUGUUGAAAAAUUAGCGGAUGACUUGUGGCUGGGGGUGAAAGGCCAAUCAAACCGGGAGAUAGCUGGUUCUCCCCGAAAGCUAUUUAGGUAGCGCCUCGUGAACUCAUCUCCGGGGGUAGAGCACUGUUUCGGCAAGGGGGUCAUCCCGACUUACCAACCCGAUGCAAACUGCGAAUACCGGAGAAUGUUAUCACGGGAGACACACGGCGGGUGCUAACGUCCGUCGUGAAGAGGGAAACAACCCAGACCGCCAGCUAAGGUCCCAAAGUCAUGGUUAAGUGGGAAACGAUGUGGGAAGGCCCAGACAGCCAGGAUGUUGGCUUAGAAGCAGCCAUCAUUUAAAGAAAGCGUAAUAGCUCACUGGUCGAGUCGGCCUGCGCGGAAGAUGUAACGGGGCUAAACCAUGCACCGAAGCUGCGGCAGCGACGCUUAUGCGUUGUUGGGUAGGGGAGCGUUCUGUAAGCCUGUGAAGGUGUGCUGUGAGGCAUGCUGGAGGUAUCAGAAGUGCGAAUGCUGACAUAAGUAACGAUAAAGCGGGUGAAAAGCCCGCUCGCCGGAAGACCAAGGGUUCCUGUCCAACGUUAAUCGGGGCAGGGUGAGUCGACCCCUAAGGCGAGGCCGAAAGGCGUAGUCGAUGGGAAACAGGUUAAUAUUCCUGUACUUGGUGUUACUGCGAAGGGGGGACGGAGAAGGCUAUGUUGGCCGGGCGACGGUUGUCCCGGUUUAAGCGUGUAGGCUGGUUUUCCAGGCAAAUCCGGAAAAUCAAGGCUGAGGCGUGAUGACGAGGCACUACGGUGCUGAAGCAACAAAUGCCCUGCUUCCAGGAAAAGCCUCUAAGCAUCAGGUAACAUCAAAUCGUACCCCAAACCGACACAGGUGGUCAGGUAGAGAAUACCAAGGCGCUUGAGAGAACUCGGGUGAAGGAACUAGGCAAAAUGGUGCCGUAACUUCGGGAGAAGGCACGCUGAUAUGUAGGUGAAGUCCCU
RNAcentral lists this ribosomal RNA (1465 nucleotides) under Escherichia coli. RNAcentral's name for it is "partial 23S ribosomal RNA". It matches the Rfam family "Bacterial large subunit ribosomal RNA", at positions 296 to 1769 of the family's 2925-position model. The record is from RNAcentral. Lineage: Bacteria; Pseudomonadati; Pseudomonadota; Gammaproteobacteria; Enterobacterales; Enterobacteriaceae.